RNAcentral lists this unclassified non-coding RNA (206 nucleotides) under Gigaspora sp. RNAcentral's name for it is "partial contains 5.8S ribosomal RNA and internal transcribed spacer 2". The stretch from base 1 to 71 matches the Rfam family "5.8S ribosomal RNA", at positions 84 to 154 of the family's 154-position model. Lineage: Eukaryota; Fungi; Glomeromycota; Glomeromycetes; Diversisporales; Gigasporaceae. The record is from RNAcentral.
GUGAAUCAUCAAAUUUUUGAACGCAAAUUGCACUUCUGGGUAUUCCGAGGAGUACACAUGCUUGAGGGUCAGUUAAAAAUAUCGUGCAUCUCUGAUGUUGCGGAUCUGGUAUUCCGAUGUUAUAAAUUUGUUAUCUAAAAUUAAUAUGGAAAUGUAAUGUGAAGCUUACUAAAGAUAUAGUCGCUAAUCAUUUAUAUUUACUAAAU